GACGGAGUUUCACCGUGGUGCCCAUGCCGGUUUUGAACUCUUGGGCUCAAGUGAUCUGCCUGCCUCAGCGUCCCAAAGUGCUGGGAUUAUAGGCCUGUGCCAUGGCACCCAGCCAGCUCACUGUAACUUCAAACGCCUGUGUUCAAGGAUUCUCCCACUUCAGCCUCCUGAGUAGCUGGGACUACAGGUGUGCACCACCACGCCCGGCUAGAAGCUAUUUUUUUCAUAAGGAUUAAAUGAGUUCUUAGUCCAUAGAAGGCACUUAAAAAAUCAUUCCUGUAAAACUGUUCAUCUUUUCCUUAUUCCUGCCUUCUCCCCUCUGUUCAUUCCAUUUGGCUUGGAAUGCCCUUUCCUUCCUCCCUUUCCAUGGUCACCAUCCUUUUCAUCCUUCAAAUUCCAGUCCAAAUGCCACCUCCUCUAAGAAGUCUUACCUGAUCACGCUGACCAAAAGUGAGCUAUUCUGCUGAUGCCCAUAGUACUAUGUCCCGCUUGGCAUUAGUUGUUGGCAUGCGUAGCAGUCAUAGCAGAGGAGCCUGAGGGCAGUCUGCUGGGGGUUUCCAGAGAAAGGCUUUCCUUGCUCAUCAAAGGCAUACCAAGACCAUGAGGGAAGGCACUACCUUAUUCAAAAAAAUAAAACAAAGAAGGCAGAGGAAGAUUCGACAAAGAGGAGGAAAUGUGAGCACAGAGGCAGAGAUUAGAAUGAUGUGGCCAUAAGCCAAAGAAAAACUGGAGUCACUAGCUGCUCUAAGAGACAAGGAAUGGAUUCUUCUCUGGUUUCCCUCAAAGGAACCAGCCCUGCCAACAUCUUGAUUUUGUUUAUUUAUUUAUUUAUUUAUUUGAGACAGUCUCACUUCGCUGCCCGGGCUGGAGUGCAGCGGCGUGAUUGGAUCUCCGCUCACUGCAACCUCCGCCUCCCGGCUUCCAGCGAUUCUUGUACCUGAGUAGCUGAGAUUACAGGUGUGCACCACCACGCCCAGCUAAUUAUUAUAUUUUUAAUAGAGAUGGGACAUCGCCGUGUUGACCAAGCUGGUCUUGAACUCAUGACCUCAGGUGAUCCACCCACCUCGGCUUCCCAAAGUGCUGGGAUUACAGGCAUGAGCCACUGCACCUGGCCCAACACUUUAAUUUUAAUCCCAUGAGACUCCCUUAAGACUUCUGGCCUCCAGAAUUGUAAGACAAUAAAUUUCUAGGGUUUUAAGCCACUACAUGUGUGCAAUUUGUUCCAGCAGCAAUAGGAAACUGACACACUGCUUCUUUCUCAGGACUAGAUGCAAACCUCCAGGAGACCUUCUGCAACACACCUUGGGUAGAUGCCUCUCCCCCAGCCUCCCUCACACAGCACUGGCUGCAGUGCAGGCCAUUGUCAGUCUCAGGACUGGUGUUUUCUCCUAGACAGCGAGCUCAUUGAGAGCAGACGCCAUGUCUCAUUCAUAUCAUGCUUGUCAGCAAGUAGUUACUCAAUGAAUGAAAGUUGAACCAAUGAAUAAAAAAGGGAAGUUAAAUUAGAUUUGGUUUAACACUGGGUCUUUAUCCAAGACUUCACAGUUGAUUUUAGUUCUUGACUUUGACCCAAGGGAAGUAAAGUAUUAUGCCAUCCAAAUAAAGAUUUUUGUCCUAUCCUCUUACAAAAGCAAGGCUUUCAUAGUGUUUUU
Macaca fascicularis (crab-eating macaque) is the source of this 1652-nucleotide long non-coding RNA. The record is from Ensembl. Lineage: Eukaryota; Metazoa; Chordata; Mammalia; Primates; Cercopithecidae.